Molecule: transfer RNA, 71 nt
Filed under: Nactus multicarinatus
Lineage: Eukaryota; Metazoa; Chordata; Lepidosauria; Squamata; Gekkonidae
Description: tRNA-Trp
Source: RNAcentral
AAAUUUAGGUUACACAAUUCUUAAACCAAGAGUCUUCAAAACUCUAAACAGGGACUACACCCUAAUUUCUG